CAGCAGCCGCGGGAAUACGUAGGGUGCAAGCGUUAAUCGGAUUUACUGGGCGUAAAGCGUGCGUAGGCGGCUUCUUAAGUCGGAUGUGAAAUCCCUGAGCUUAACUUAGGAAUUGCAUUCGAUACUGGGAAGCUAGAGUAUGGGAGAGGAUGGUAGAAUUCCAGGUGUAGCGGUGAAAUGCGUAGAGAUCUGGAGGAAUACCGAUGGCGAAGGCAGCCAUCUGGCCUAAUACUGACGCUGAGGUACGAAAGCAUGGGGAGCAAACAGGAUUAGAUACCCCUGUAGUCCCUGUCUCUUAUAC
Molecule: ribosomal RNA, 301 nt
Filed under: uncultured bacterium
Lineage: Bacteria
Description: partial 16S ribosomal RNA
Rfam family: Bacterial small subunit ribosomal RNA
Source: RNAcentral